Molecule: long non-coding RNA, 643 nt
Filed under: Monodelphis domestica (gray short-tailed opossum)
Lineage: Eukaryota; Metazoa; Chordata; Mammalia; Didelphimorphia; Didelphidae
Description: lncRNA (ENSMODG00000033877.2)
Source: RNAcentral
AAUUAGUUAUCUGUUGGUAACACUCUAAUAUUCUGUGCAAAAGUUUAUUUUAGGCUGAUGCAGCUGAAAGUGAAAGGAAGGAUCAAAAUAUCAUCCCAUCCAUAUAGAGAGGCUCCAUUAGCUCAAGAUGUUUGAUAAUCCUCGGCCCAGAGGGAUGAGUCUAUGGAGGAUGCUUGGGUUCCUAUCUGUGGAAAUCCCACUGAGCAUUGUAAUCACCAAAAGCCUAGAAGAAUUCAAAUGGACUCAUCUAAAGUAUUUCAGUAGCUGCCCUUAUCAGCAGCUAAAUUGCUAAUCUUGCUUAAACCAAUGAAUUCUGAGCCAGCUAAUCUUCAGUCUUUUGUGUAGCCAGAUCACAAUUUCUCUUAUUUCUGUCCCAGCAUGUAUCCUAGCAUACAUGUGGAUCAUUCACAAUUUUGCACCUUGAAAAUAUCAUAUUAGGAAGGAACUCUCCACAGAGAGGUAGAUGUCUUUGGACAGUCCUGGAGAGCCAAGACCAUUCCAAACAUUUGGGAAAGAAAUCGGAUCCUACAAUUUCAGUCCUAAUUUAAGUGCUUAAUUUUUUGCCAAAAGUAAAGCUAGUAAUUGUGAUGAGUCAAUGGAUGGUUUCUGUUAAAAAAAAAAUAAACUAAGGUAAUAAAUGCCA